RNAcentral lists this long non-coding RNA (1869 nucleotides) under Anas platyrhynchos platyrhynchos (common mallard). RNAcentral's name for it is "lncRNA (ENSAPLG00000025162.1)". Lineage: Eukaryota; Metazoa; Chordata; Aves; Anseriformes; Anatidae. The record is from RNAcentral.
GGCCUCCUGCCUCCGCUGACCUUCCUCUGGCAUCAGGAGCACCUUUGCAGGCAGCGGGUGAGGAGCCGCUGUGCAAACUGAGCUAGCACCGGGGCUUGGCGUGGAUCCCACGAGGCUGCUUAAAAAAUGAAGAGGGCGGCUGAUGGGGGUCUGUCAAGCCACAGCGUUUGUGUUCAUCAGCGUCUUGGGGGAAGCGGAGAUGCCAGCUGCCUGCAAACAUCUGGUUUGGGUUGUACCCUCCCGCCCCCCUUGCUUUUUGCACGACUUGCUUUCUCUGCUUUUGUAGAGUUCAGCAUCUCCGACUCCGAAUGUUGGAUCUGGUGGGGGAAACGCCUUGGUUUCUCCUCGUCCUCUCGAGUACCGCAGCCCUGCCAGCAUCAUGGCUCGGAGUCCAAGCGAGGGAAGCCUGAGCAGUAAAAAUCCUACGGCGUGGUUGCAGGUUUCUGAAGGAAAAGCUCUUUCUGUGUGGGGCUGGGCUCUGGUUAAUGUGAUGCCAGCACGGGAGGGAAAGCCACGGGCCCUCCGUGCCGAGGGAGGAAGUGUUUCCAUGCCACCCAGGUCAGGAAAACACAAGCGGUUAGAGCAGAAGCAGCCCCAGUAGAGUUAAUUAAGCGUUGCAUUUAAAGGGUGGCACUGAAUGGAAUUGCUCUGCGUUUUUUGAAGCUGGCCUCUCAGCUCCCUGCCGUGCCGUGAGGAGCCCCGUGCAGCACGAGCGGGGGAAACCCAGGCUGCCUUCAGCUGCCCUUGGAUAUCCCUGAGCUUCCAGGCUGCAGGAGAGGCGUUGGGGAUGGAAAGGCAACCCGGAGCAGUGCCGGAGGGCGCAGUGGUUGGGAGUUUCUCUGAGCAGUGUUUUUUUGCUCACCAGCCAGCUCUUGGCCUGCCCGGUCAAGGAAGGAUGCAGAAGCAGAGCAUCCCAUCCUCUUCAUCCGUUUUCCCAUCCUCUUGACUACAAAAUGCAUCUAUAAAAGUGUCUUCUGCUGGACACCAAACGAACCAAGCUGGUACAUCCCCAGAGCAGGGUGAUAUCUCACACUCGGAUCCUGCUGAUAUCAUUGCCUGGCUAAUUAAGCGAGGGCUGAAUAAUCCGAGCAGAGCCCUGUGCUUGUCCAGCUUGGCCAAGUGCAGACAUCCCCUAGAGGCUGUGGCUUGGCUGUCACUGGGGUUAGGAACCCGUGGCUUGAACUAACGGGUGCGGGUGACGUUGAGGGAGAAAAACUCCAGGUAAUCUCGUUUGGUGUCUUGACUGCGCCUUGCUAGAGGGGAAUUUUGUUCCACUAAAAAAUAACGCGGCAAACGUGCGCCAAAAGGAGCGGGUUGAUGUAUAAAGCAGAGCAGGCUCCUGCUUUGAGCAUCGAAACAGAGCUCCUGGCCUCACCUGGGCACGUUCCCCACCGCCGGUGUUUCAGUGGGAUAGAUUAUGUCUCUGGAGUUUGGCGAUAGAGAAUGACUUGCAAUAUUUCAGGUUUUCCUCAGGUCGUCCUUUCGCUUGCCUGUCUUCUCCCUUCAAUCUCCCGUGCUUCUGAUGGCUGACUUUAUUAUCUUUGCUAUUUCUAACCCUCGGUUUGGUCCCCGUUGGAGCUUGAUUUCUGCUGGGGGGAAGAUAGAAAAGGUCAGGCUCUCGCUAGCGAAGCUGAUUUAAUUUGUUUGCUGCAUCUGUGUGCAGACUUGCAUGCAUGUUGUUAGCGUGAGGCACCAGGACCAGGAUCCUCAUGGACACAUGGGUCCUGCUUAUUUAUUUACCUCUUUUCUACUCUGUUUUUUUUUUCUUUUUUUUUCCUCCCACCUGGCCCAGUAUUCCCAGUUUUACCUCUUCUACAGGAGAAGAGCUUAGUGGGCUCCAAGCAGUAAAUAAAUCUGACAUUUGCGGCA